UACGGAAGGGGCUAGCGUUGUUCGGAAUUACUUGGCGUAAAGAGCGCGUAGGCGGCUUACCAAGUUGGGGGUGAAAUCCCGGAGCUCAACUCCGGAACUGCCUUCAAAACUGGUAGGCUCGAGUCCGGAAGACGGGCGUGGAAUUCCCAGUGUAGAGGUGAAAUUCGUAGAUAUUGGGAAGAACACCGGUGGCGAAGGCGGCGCCCUGGUCCGGUACUGACACUGAGGCGCGAAAGCGUGGGGAGCAAACAGG
This 253-nucleotide ribosomal RNA is filed under the name uncultured bacterium. RNAcentral's name for it is "partial 16S ribosomal RNA". It matches the Rfam family "Bacterial small subunit ribosomal RNA", at positions 524 to 776 of the family's 1533-position model. The record is from RNAcentral.